Molecule: ribosomal RNA, 886 nt
Filed under: Scheffersomyces stipitis
Lineage: Eukaryota; Fungi; Ascomycota; Pichiomycetes; Serinales; Debaryomycetaceae
Description: LSU rRNA
Rfam family: Eukaryotic large subunit ribosomal RNA
Source: RNAcentral
UAGCAUAUCAAUAAGCGGAGGAAAAGAAACCAACAGGGAUUGCCUUAGUAACGGCGAGUGAAGCGGCAAAAGCUCAAAUUUGAAAUCUGGCACCUUCGGUGUCCGAGUUGUAAUUUGAAGAAGGUAACUUUGGAGUCAGCUCUUGUCUAUGUUCCUUGGAACAGGACGUCACAGAGGGUGAGAAUCCCGUGCGAUGAGAUGUCUGAUUCUAUGUAAAGUGCUUUCGAAGAGUCGAGUUGUUUGGGAAUGCAGCUCUAAGUGGGUGGUAAAUUCCAUCUAAAGCUAAAUAUUGGCGAGAGACCGAUAGCGAACAAGUACAGUGAUGGAAAGAUGAAAAGAACUUUGAAAAGAGAGUGAAAAAGUACGUGAAAUUGUUGAAAGGGAAGGGUUUGAGAUCAGACUUGGUAUUUUGUAUGUCUUGCUUUCGGGUGGGGCCUCUACAGUUUACUGGGCCAGCAUCGGUUUGGACGGUAGGAUAAUGACAUUGGAAUGUGGCACCACUUCGGUGGUGUGUUAUAGACUUUGUUGAUACUGCCUGUCUAGACCGAGGACUGCGUCUUUGACUAGGAUGCUGGCAUAAUGAUCUUAAACCGCCCGUCUUGAAACACGGACCAAGGAGUCUAACGUCUAUGCGAGUGUUUGGGUGUAAAACCCGUACGCGUAAUGAAAGUGAACGUAGGUGAGAGCUCUUUUGAGUGCAUCAUCGACCGAUCCUGAUGUCUUCGGAUGGAUUUGAGUAAGAGCAUAGCUGUUGGGACCCGAAAGAUGGUGAACUAUGCCUGAAUAGGGUGAAGCCAGAGGAAACUCUGGUGGAGGCUCGUAGCGGUUCUGACGUGCAAAUCGAUCGUCGAAUUUGGGUAUAGGGCGAAAGACUAAUCGAACCAUC